Molecule: long non-coding RNA, 1368 nt
Filed under: Sus scrofa (pig)
Lineage: Eukaryota; Metazoa; Chordata; Mammalia; Artiodactyla; Suidae
Description: lncRNA (ENSSSCG00070012387.1)
Source: RNAcentral
UCCUUUCCCCUCCCAGAUUCCCUCCCAGCUCUGAGUCAGCGCCUUGUCUUGCUGGAAUCUCACCCAUUGCCUGGUGAAAUGUCGAUGAUGCAUCUGGGUGCUGGUGGCUUCAGAGCAAUGAGAUAAUAACGACCCCCCUCCUGCUGGAAACCCCUGGAGACAGUUUACUGCAGCCAUCCAGCUCUCCACCCAUAGAUCUUUGAUCAUCUAUCACCUGGAGUUCCUGCCAUGGCGCAACAGGAUUGGCAGUGUCUUGGGAGCAGUGGGACGCAGGUUCAAUCCCCAGCCCGGCCCAGUGGGUUAAGGAUCCAGCAGCACUGCAAGUGCGGCCCAAGUGCCAACUGUGGUUCGGAUCUGAUCCCUGCCCGGGGAGCUCCAUAUGCUGAGGGGUGGCCAAAAAAAGAAAAAAAAAAUUAUCUGUCCUCUGUCAUCUUCUAUCCGCCUAAUCUUCCAUUGUCUAUUUUUCUGUCUAUCUCAGGUACCUAUCUACCAAUCACCUCUAUAUCUAUUUAUCAAUCAACCUGUUUACCUAUUAUCUUCUGCAAAUCACGUCUCUAACAUAACUUCAUAUCUAUUAUCUCUCAUCUACCUGUGUAUCCAUCUGUCUACCUACGUGUCCGUUACGUAUCUCUGUCUACUAUCUAUUAUCUAUCCAUCUACCUAUUAUGUGUAUCUAUCUACUUAUCAUCCAUCCAUCCAUCCAGUCCAUCUGUCCAUCUGUCCUACCAACCUGACUAUCUAUUAUGUCUAGCUUGCUAUCUAUCUAUCUAUCCAUCCAUCCAUCCAUCCAUCCACCAUCCAUCUAUCCCUACCAAUCUAUUACCUAUCUAUCAACUACCUAUCAGGUAUGUCUGUCUGUCUAUUCUGUAUAUCUCUGUAUCUGUCAUCUAUCUAUGCACCUACCUGCCUAUCCAUCAACUCCCUGUCCACCUCUUACCCAUCCAUCCAUCUAUCCCUCUAUCAAUCCAUCCAUCCACCCGCCUAUCUCCCUACCAACCUAUCUCUUGUGUAUAUCUAUCCAUCAUCCAUCUCUGUAGCAAACUAUCUAUUAUGUAUAUCUCUGAAUCUAUUUCUCUCUCUAUCAUAUAUAUCUCUGUAUCUGUCUAUCUCUCUACCUACCUACCUGCCUAUUAUCGACUCCCUAUCUAUCUCUUACCCACCCAUCCAUCCAGCAUCUAGAGCAUCUAACACGUGCUCCCUCCCUCCAGCCUGGACACCAGUCCGUAAGUGAAGGCCUCAGCACCCAGGGGCCCUUGACCUUCCAAGCCACACUCCUCCAGAACCCCGGGGACACCCCGGUCUCACCCACCGCCCACUCCCUCUGGGACCCAUCCAUACCCUUCCCGCUUCCUGCGCCCCGGAGCUGCU